Molecule: long non-coding RNA, 8267 nt
Filed under: Sus scrofa (pig)
Lineage: Eukaryota; Metazoa; Chordata; Mammalia; Artiodactyla; Suidae
Description: lncRNA (ENSSSCG00030049549.1)
Source: RNAcentral
GAAAAGUAUAAAGCUUUUAUUUUUAACAACCAGACUCUGCCACUUCUGACCGGUGCUCAACUUUCAGGAUCUUUGGUUUGAAGCAAGUAUUUAGAAAAACCAUUGCCUGGAAAAUGUUUUUACAAAAUACGGAAGUUUGCAAAUAUCUCCAAUAAUUUUUUUCACUUCAUCUGCUUGAUUGGGAAAGAGGCCAGGCCAUUUCCAAUUUCCAGGCACUCCAGGCCCAAGGUCUGUUCGCGAGUCAGUGAUGUGGACGAAGGACACACCGACUCCUGGAAAGACAGCUGCACGUGCGCGGCUCCGCUUGGACCAUAAAACCUUCAUUCAUAGUAAGUCUCCACGGACGCAACUUUGACCCUGAACCACUCCCGCUCACUUGCCCCCAUAGCACAAAGGUCUAAUGUCCCAAAGCGGGCCCCUAGGAGCUCCUCUGCUGGUUUCGGCUACAGUUGUGGAAGCAGCAUUCUCGUCCCAGAACCGUGAUCCAUCCAGUGUUGGUGCAGGUGUGUCCCAGGUGGUAGCUGAGGCACAGGUACCCAUCCCUGUCCCAGAAACCUCCACACAACAGAGGUGCAGCCAAAAAUAAGAGGGCAGGGAAGGGAGCAAGGGAGAAGCUGAGGAGUCAUUUCUCAGACUAUGGCGGUGCAGACUAUGGCUUUACUUCUUUAAGGAAGAAGUAAAAUCUUUCAAGUGCCAAGAGAGCAUCCAGGAAAUGCAGCAUUGCCUGUUUCCUACAGAAGACGUAUGCAACAGAUCAGCAGCAUCUCUGCAGCACCGGGACACAGGUUCAAUCCCCGGCCCAGCACAGUGGGUUAAGUUCCUUGGAUCUGAUCCCUGGCCCGGCAACUCCAUAUGCUGCCAGGCAGCCAAAAAAGAAAAAAAAAAAAAAAAGUUAACUAAAUCUGGGUUUAAUCUGGUUGCUCAUUCUUACUCUCUGCCUCUCUCUCUCUCUGUCGGUCUCUGCCUCUCUCAUACACAAACACACAUAUCAGCAUAUCAGAAUCAUUACCUGGAUGCUCUGUUGGGACCACAAGCUCAAAAUAAUAAAGACCAAAUGGACCAUCUACUUCACAACCAGCUUCUGCCUUUCACAGUUUUGUACACGGCACUUUCCCUUAAUUACCUGAUGUUCAAGAAAAUUGUAACUACUUUUGAUUUUUCCUUAUUAUCUUCACAUUCCAAAGAGGAGACAGGAGGUACCCAUUAUUUACCUGCGCAUUAAGGCAGGAUUUCUUACAUUAACCCCUUUACUUCCCGUUCCUAUUUACCUUCCUUAUCUUGCUUUGCACCUGCACCUCCCCAUGUCUUUGCUCCUAAGCUCCCCACCUCACAGGUCUGCGGGAGAUUCACAUAUGUCUAAUAUCAGCAUUUCAGACCAGGGGAAAUGACAGACAUCGAUAAGUUAGUGCAAAUGCAAACCAUGAACACACAUAGGUCAUGCACCUUACUUAUAUCAAAGUGAAUUCAACAUUAAUCUGAUCUUAAUGUAACAGAUGGAACCUUAAAAAUACUUGAAUAAAAUAUAGGUAAAUAGGAAAAGAUUUCCUAAGAAAAUAAAGUCAGAAAUUGUGAAAUAAAAGUAUGAGAGUUUUGGUGAAAUAAAAAUUGUUAACUUCUAUUAUACCCAAUAAGCAGAGACAACCAUCAAGUGAGAAAAUAUUCACAAUGUAUGUAUGACAGAAUAUAGACAGACAAAUCAGCAAAAGGUCACAUACAAGGUGUGAAAGACAACUUGCCAAAUUAAAAAUAUAAAUAAGUUUACAAAAAGAUACUCAAUCUUAUUACUAACCAAGGAAAUACAAAUAAAACAAAGAGCAUUUCUCACCUCUUAGAUGGGGAAAGAUACGAAGAAUAUUAACCACCAGCUGAUAGCGUAAGAAAAGAGGCCUGAAGGCUGCUUUGGGGAGUUUAAAUUGGUAUAAAAUUUCCAGAGGGCAGUCUGAUGAUAGUCACCAAAAGCCUUAAAAUUAAAACUUCUUUCUGAUCCAACAAAUGUCUUUACAAGAACUUAUUUGAUGGAAAUGCUCCACUAAAUGCACAAAAACCUAUGCAUUUUGUAAUUAUCUAUGAUGAUUUUAUAGCAGUAGGAAAUCAAUAGCAGUAUAAAAAUAUAUCAGUGAAGGAUUGAUUAAAUAAAUUGGGGGAUAGGGAUGUAAUAAGGUAAUAUAACAUACAUAAUGCAUUGAUUAAAUAAUGAAAAUAUACUUUAUUAGCAUGAAAAUGCUCAUGAUAUAUGUAUAAAAGGUUUCAAACUAUCCACAUGACAUCUAUAUGUGAAAUAUAUAUAAUAUACAUACAUAUUGCUGAUAGUGAUUGGUAUUAGUUAUUUCUAGGUGCUUUAAUCCUGGGUGAUUUUUACUGUCCAAAUUACCUCCCUAAUGUCCACUGCCAAGCCUAGAGGCAGGGACCCAAGUUAAAAGGAUGCUCCUACAAUCUAGACAUACAGUCAGUGACAAAGGCUGGUGGGAAGAGAGGGAACAAGGAGAUGAUGGAGGAGUAAAAGAUGGUGGUGAUUUUAGCGUCCAUCUGACUGGAGAGCCACUGGCCAAAAGGGGAUGUGAUGGAGCAGAAAGACGCUGAAUCGUUAGACACCCAGCGCAGAGCCUUGGACAUAGCAGCGCUUCAGAGCUUUUUAAUGGAUCAGUGUGGUUCAGCGUGAGCCUCUUUACAGUCAGUUGUGUCAGCGCUCUAGCCAAAUCUUUCCGGGAGACUCCAAGAAGACACUAAUGGAGGUAGUUUGAUGCAAUAAAGGGAACAUCAAAUGGGGCCCCAGGAGACCUAUUUCACCCCCCAGCUACUGCCUGUCACCUCACUCCUGCCGCUGCCUAGCAGCCCUCCUGUUCUGCCCAGAACGGAAAUACCACUUUUUCAAAGAGGUCUUGCCUGACUUGCAGGUCUCGGCAAAGAACAAGGGAGUCAAGUCCUUCUGGUCUCACUUGUCUGGUGGCCAGAAUUCAGCGGGUGCCCAGGAACUCGAUGCCCUGCCCUUCUCGUCUGCAUUUGCCACGGACACACUUAGUUCUGCACCUCCGGCUGGACUUAACUGACAUGAAGUAGCACCAAGUCAUCUACUCAGACUCUCCUGGGAUGUAGCCCCCAAGAGCCCCGCCUCCAUCACGGGUCUUAACUUGCCCUGUACCCUGGUCCGCUUCAGGUGCUGCAGGAGAAAUCUGCGCAUGGAUUUACCUGCUUCUUCAUCACAACAGCAGAUGCUACUGUGACUGACCGUAAAACAGAGAAGUCAGGUGCAACUCCGAGAAAGGAAGUGACACCUCCUAGGUGGCCCAGUGUGCUCCUGGUGGAGGCCAGAUUCACGGUGGGGAGGAGGUUGUUACUUACACAGAUGCGGGGGCCACUGCAAGACCUGAGGCUUUCCUGAGAGUUCUGUAGCUUUUUUCACUAAUUUUUUUCACUUUCCUUUCAAGAAAAAGAGAGAGAGAGAGAAAUACAGUGCCCUGGCUGGCAUGUUACUGGAGGGGGGCUGGAUAGAGCACAGCAGCCCUCGUUCAUGCUGGGCGUCUACGUGAUGGGUUCUGACGGCUUCUCGGGAGAACGCGGUGGGCUGUGCCCAUUGCACCUGUGCCCACCGGGACUGAACUGCUCCUCCACUCUUCUCACCACGGGAAAGCCCAGAGCCGGAGGAGCGGGAGAGCCGAGGACAAGCGGGCCUGGAGGUCAGACCCUUCUCGGAGCGACCCCGGUACCGUGAAGCGUUUCGCCCUCAGUCUGCCAUCGGCACCCGAGGCCUCGCUUGCUUUUGUGCAAAGUGUUCUCAGGUUCAGAAAGACAAUCAGGAGAUGAAUAAAGCACACCUGUCGGCUCUCUGAAGGCUCUCGCAAGGACACACGCUCGAGGCUCCCUAUGGCAGAAGGCAGCUCUCCUCCUGCGGCCCAUGCUGGCAAAGUAGUCACAUCAGAGCAGCGGUCUCAGGCCUGCAAAUCCUUUUAUUCUCACCUUCUCUGUCCUCUUAAGCCACAGGCUCAAAUUACUGACAUGAUUCAAAAAGCACUAGAACGACCCAAUUUUUUGACACUUUAAAUCCCAUUUGAACCUCACAGUUUUAUAGUGAAAACCGGUUUCUGAGAUAUGAUAUAUGAGGACCCAAUAAUUGCUGAAAUUCUGGAAUCAGAAUAAAAGGAAACAGCCUCUAAAACCUCACAAACCUUUGCUUGGUUAGUAAAGGAGCCACAAAGAAUUCAGAAUUGCCUAAAAAAACAAAACAAAACCCGUAACUAAGAAACACUUUAAUGAAGAGCUUUAAAGCAACCAAAAUGUAAUUCCAAACUAUCAUACCUUUAAAAACUUUGCAGAAUUCAAACAUAAUAAAAAUAUUGAUUUAAAAAUACUGAUUGAAAAUCCAAGUUGAACUGACCUGUCAGACGUAUUACAUAUGCCUUUUGAUGAUUUCAAGUCUACCGUUUUGAACUUCCUUAAGCCAAAUGUAACACUUAUGAGUUAUGUUUUUAUGUGAUUUUUCAAAAACUACCUGCAGCAUUGCAGCCAGAAGACACUUCCUUGCAUGUCCUUGUAAUCCUGAAAAUCUUGUCAGCGGGUUUGUACUCUGGUAUAAAUGGGGGGAGUUUGUCGAGUCUGAGUUUUAAAUAACUUGAGAAAAUGGGUUCUUGCAACUUUCCCCUGGGAUUUAAUACUAUUAAUCCUGCUAUUGAGAAAAUUAUGAGGAUGUCAUUAGGAAAGUUACAGCACUUGUACCCCCUUGAAAAAAACAAGCAGCGUGUUCACAGCACAGCCUAGACUUUCCAGCCUUUGUAAAUUCUACGUAAAUCUCACGUUAUUUCUGCUUUCCAUAGAUCCUUUUAUGUGUGUACCUUAGUCAUAAAAGCCGUAAUAGCCCAAAAUUACAAACCUGGUAGAAAUAGUGCAAAAACCAAACAAUUAGGGCACAUGCAAAGGACACUCUCCCCGCCACAAGCUUCUUCCACCGCAUCCACCACCUGCGUGGAAAGUGUCAGGCAGGUGUCCGCGGCUCUCACCGGACCGUAAGCUCUUUGAGGACAGGAAACGCACCUCACCCAUCUUUGGAUGCUCAGGUUCUGUCACUUUGUCAGUGUCCAUGUCAUCGUCUCUUCAUAGGCUAUGAUUUUAGUUUCUUCACACUUUAAUUUCUUAGAACAAUUUAAAAGGAAAGGAGUUCUCCUUUUGGCUCAGCGGGUUCCAAACCCAACUAGGAUCCAUGAGGGUGAGGGUUCGACUCCUGGCCUCACUCAGUGGGUUAAGUUUCCAGUGUUGCUGUGGCUGUGGUGUAGGCCGGCUGCAGCAGCUCUGAUUUGACCCCUAGCCUAGGAACUUCCAUAUGCUGCAGGUGUGACCCUAAAAAGUAAGAAAAAAAAUUUAAAGGAGAAUAUGUAGGCAAAGGAAGCAAGAAGCCGGCAAAACAUCAGAGAGCAGUGUCAUCUGAAAACCAUCCAAGGUCCCACCCAAAUAGCUGGUCCUUCUGAUUUGGAGAAUGGAUGCACCCAAGACACCAGGACCUCCUGCCGUUUAAUGCUCCAUCAGAGCCAAGCCCCUACCCUCAUCCCAGGCUCCCUAGCUAAGCAGGGAAGGGAAGGGAGGGUUUCCAGGGCGCUUGAACCCGGAUUUCUAACUUUUCUUAUUGGAAUGGAGUAUAGUGGUAUCUGACUGUAUCCGCUACGUCUCUGGUGAGCUUCGUUAGGGUGACUCAGAAUUCCUGAAUCAGAUCGACUGUGGGACAAUGAGAAAGCUGCUCUGCAUGGAUGAUGCUGAGUUAACAUGACCCCUUUCAUGUGCUGUGGGCACAGCCAAAAAAAAAAAAAAAAAAAGAAAAGAAAAGAAAAUACUUGAAAAUAUCAAAGUAUUUUAAAUGAUACAAAUGACCUGUAGUCUCACUAGGCCAGAAGAAGCCACUGUAAAUAAUAUUGAAUCAUUCCUUCCAUUUUCCUAAAAUGUGUAUGUAACAUAAAUAAAAUUAACUUUAUGUUCUGGUACAACAUCAGAUAAAACCAGAUGAAAAGAGCUUUACAAAACUAGGGCUACAUGUUUGGAAUGAUCUAAUUUAAAAUACGGACUGUGUGGUUCACAUAAAAUUCACUUUUAGUGAGUUGCUCACAAAAAGCUAGAAAGCCUCUCAAAGACACAAUCAGCCAUUCUCUCGGGCGUCUUCCGAUGCUGACGUGCAGCGGAACAGUUGUGUCUGAGGUCAGGGCUUCGAUGUGCUCCAGGGUCAGCACAGCACAGAUUUAUUCAUUUACUUGCAUUUAACAUAGUCUCUGCUUUCAAGUUUAUUGAGAAAUUCAAGAAGAGGUCGCAGCGUGAUAAUCCUAGGACAGGGCCCAAUUUAACCAGAAGAAGUGACUGUCAGCUCUAAGGACAAACUGGGUGACAUGUGAGUUUAUUUACUCUUUGGAUCCUGCUAUACUACUUAACAUUAUCUGUGAGCAUUCUACCAAAUCAUGAAAAAAUGCUAUUUGGCUGCACAAUCUAUUGAUUUUUUAAAAUUUCAUAUACCCAAUUACUGCAGUUCACUAAAUUCAUUUCCAGGCUUUCCACUGUUAUUAAUAGCAUUUCAGGAUAGAGAUUCUCAUCUAUAUUUCUGAUUAUUAGCCUUAGUGUGGAUUCUUAGAAAUAAAAUCCCUAGGUCAAAAAGUACAGCUCUUUUGUAAGGAUCUUUCCUACACGCUGAGAUUGUUUUACAAAAAGGACGUGACAAUUUGUAUUUUGAAGACAACAGUCUGGGAGUAACUUGCUGGCCUCAAGAAUGGUCGUGGGUCUGCAUACCAUUCACUUUGAUGGGUUAAAGGAUGUUACGUCAUUUUUUUUUAAGUCUGUGAAGUGAUGUGCUUAGUGAGACUGAACAUUUCCCAAACUUUGGAGCCAUGUGUGUAGUUUCACCUACGUGGGUCCUGUCUCACAGUCUUAGUUUUGUUCUUGGAUGACAGUCAGGUCUGGAAGGACACCCAGAGAGCAGCUGCAGGUGCCUGAAGGAAGCUGUACCAAGGUGGGGCAGGCAGCUUGCGGGAAAACAGCAAGCCAUGGGGAGCAUCGGAGACCAGGGGCUGGGGGCCGGGAACCCACAUCCUGCAAAUAAGUAGCUUUCUGGAAGGGGACUCCUGUCAAGAGCCAGGGCUUCGGGAAGAAGAACAGAACCACAGCAAACUGUGUUCUCUGGAGGGAGGAUAGGCAUUAUCCUGGCUCCUCCCACUCCCCACCUUCCUGCACGUCUCCCAUUGGCUGAACCCAGCGGGGAGACAGAGCCUGCUCCAGCCGGUCGGCAAGGUCAUCCUCCCAGAGCCCAGAGCAGGCGGGUGGGACACGACCGGGUGGGACAAACAGAAUAUCCAGCAAGAUGUGUAAAGGAUCUCGGAUUAUGAGAGAUAUUAGCCCAUCUUGCGUCAUAUUUAAUAAAAAGAUCGCUGAGUUUGUGGCUUGCCUUUCAAUUUGGGGUGUGAUAUCUUGGCAUGAGGGCUUUUGGGGGUUUUGUUACAUUUUUUAGCAAUAAAAGGGAUCUAUCAUAUUGUUUAUAAUCUCAUUAUUUUCAUGGAAGUUCCUUUCUCAGCCACUGAAAAGAGAUUUUUGUGGUUGAGUUUUCUACAUUUAACUUUGUGAAUCAGCUAGAAUUUAUUUUAGAGCAUGCCAUGAAAUUAAGACAUUUUUUUUAAUACUGCAAACCUAUAGUACAAGCACCAGUUAUGGAAUUGGCCAAUUUUUUCUCACACUAAUUUGUACAAUCAUUACAUAUAUUCGUUCUUUUUUCUUUUAAAGGAUGAAUUUUAUUUUUAAAGAGUUUAAUUUAUGUGGAUCUUAGCUGUCCAAUGUAAUACCAGAUGUGCCAUUUUAAAGUGAAUCUCUUUGAUGUCACCAUGAAACACAGGCCUUUUUUUAAUAAAAGUAAAUAGAAUGAUUUAUUUCAUAUUGCAUCUUCAGAUUUGCAUACUAUUUUUCACAAUGUGGUUAUGUUGUUUGUUUUUCAAAAAUGAGAUUUUUGUUUUGAUAACUAAGGGUGAUACUUUCUUUUUUUAUUCUAAGUUCCUUCACCUUCUUUUGCUCCCUAUUUUACUUUUUCACUUUGAAUGUUUAAGAAAUUUUCAGGCAUGGAAAAACUUACUUUGGGAACAUAAAAAGUUUUCCCCUUGCAGAGGAACUAGGUUCAUCUUGAAAAGACAGAGUUCUCCAAAUUCCAGGUACAGGAAUCCUUUCUCUGUUGCGAAACAUAAUAAGAAUAUGCAUAAACAAUCUAUGACUUCCUUUUUUAUUGAAGGAUAGUUGAUAUACAAGCUUGUUUUAAUUUCUUC